This 303-nucleotide ribosomal RNA is filed under the name uncultured bacterium. RNAcentral's name for it is "partial 16S ribosomal RNA". It matches the Rfam family "Bacterial small subunit ribosomal RNA", at positions 507 to 807 of the family's 1533-position model. The record is from RNAcentral.
AGCAGUCGCCACGGUAAUACGAAGGGUGCAAGCGUUAUUCGGAAUUACUGGGCGUAAAGCGUGCGUAGGUGGUGGUUUAAGUCCGUUGUGAAAGCCCUGGGCUCAACCUGGGAAUUGCAGUGGAUACUGGGUCACUAGAGUGUGGUAGAGGAUAGUGGAAUUUCCGGUGUAGCAGUGAAAUGCGUAGAGAUCGGAAGGAACAUCUGUGGCGAAGGCGACUAUCUGGGCCAACACUGACACUGAGGCACGAAAGCGUGGGGAGCAAACAGGAUUAGAUACCCCAGUAGUCCCUGUCUCUUAUAC